The submitters of this non-coding RNA (48 nucleotides) gave its source as unclassified sequences. The record is from Rfam.
CGGGGAUCAAGCCGCCUCCCCGUCAGAUGACAUCCAUCCAAGCGCUGC